GACGAACGCUGGCGGCGUGCUUAACACAUGCAAGUCGAACGGAAAGGCCCUGCUUUUGUGGGGUGCUCGAGUGGCGAACGGGUGAGUAACACGUGAGUAACCUGCCCUUGACUUUGGGAUAACUUCAGGAAACUGGGGCUAAUACCGGAUAGGAGCUCCUGCUGCAUGGUGGGGGUUGGAAAGUUUCGGCGGUUGGGGAUGGACUCGCGGCUUAUCAGCUUGUUGGUGGGGUAGUGGUUUACCAAGGCUUUGACGGGUAGCCGGCCUGAGAGGGUGACCGGCCACAUUGGGACUGAGAUACGGCCCAGACUCCUACGGGAGGCAGCAGUGGGGAAUAUUGCACAAUGGGCGGAAGCCUGAUGCAGCAACGCCGCGUGCGGGAUGACGGCCUUCGGGUUGUAAACCGCUUUCGCCUGUGACGAAGCGUGAGUGACGGUAAUGGGUAAAGAAGCACCGGCUGACUACGUG
RNAcentral lists this ribosomal RNA (468 nucleotides) under uncultured bacterium. Its description in RNAcentral is "partial 16S ribosomal RNA". It matches the Rfam family "Bacterial small subunit ribosomal RNA", at positions 28 to 507 of the family's 1533-position model. The record is from RNAcentral.